UGGGGAAUAUUGCACAAUGGGCGCAAGCCUGAUGCAGCCAUGCCGCGUGUAUGAAGAAGGCCUUCGGGUUGUAAAGUACUUUCAGCGGGGAGGAAGGUGUUGAGGUUAAUAACCUCAGCAAUUGACGUUACCCGCAGAAGAAGCACCGGCUAACUCCGUGCCAGCAGCCGCGGUAAUACGGAGGGUGCAAGCGUUAAUCGGAAUUACGGGGCGUAAAGCGCACGCAGGCGGUCUGUCAAGUCGGAUGUGAAAUCCCCGGGCUCAACCUGGGAACUGCAUUCGAAACUGGCAGGCUAGAGUCUUGUAGAGGGGGGUAGAAUUCCAGGUGUAGCGGUGAAAUGCGUAGAGAUCUGGAGGAAUACCGGUGGCGAAGGCGGCCCCCUGGACAAAGACUGACGCUCAGGUGCGAAAGCGUGGGGAGCAAACA
Molecule: ribosomal RNA, 427 nt
Filed under: uncultured bacterium
Lineage: Bacteria
Description: partial 16S ribosomal RNA
Rfam family: Bacterial small subunit ribosomal RNA
Source: RNAcentral